GGGAUUGAGGAGCUUGCUUCUCAUGAGAGUGGCGCACGGGUGCGUAACACGUAUGUAACCUACCUUGUUCAGGGGGAUAGCCUCUCGAAAGAGAGAUUAACACCGCAUAAAAUCAAUUUAUGGCAUCAUAGAAUGAUCAAAUAUUUAUAGGAACAAGAUGGGCAUGCGGAACAUUAGCUAGUUGGUAAGGUAACGGCUUACCAAGGCUACGAUGUUUAGGGGAUCUGAGAGGAUGACCCCCCACACUGGUACUGAGACACGGACCAGACUCCUACGGGAGGCAGCAGUAAGGAAUAUUGGUCAAUGGACGCAAGUCUGAACCAGCCAUGCCGCGUGCAGGAAGACGGCCCUACGGGUUGUAAACUGCUUUUGUACCGGAAUAAACCUUUUCACGUGUGAGAAGCUGAAUGUACGGUAAGAAUAAGGAUCGGCUAACUCCGUGCCAGCAGCCGCGGUAAUACGGAGGAUCCAAGCGUUAUCCGGAUUUAUUGGGUUUAAAGGGUGCGUAGGUGGCCUAUUAAGUCAGGGGUGAAAGACGGUAGCUUAACUAUCGCAGUGCCUUUGAUACUGAUGGGCUUGAAUACACUUGAGGUAGGCGGAAUGUGACAAGUAGCGGUGAAAUGCAUAGAUAUGUCACAGAACACCAAUUGCGAAGGCAGCUUACUAAAGUGUUAUUGACACUGAGGCACGAAAGCGUGGGGAUCAAACAGGAUUAGAUACCCUGGUAGUCCACGCCCUAAACGAUGAAUACUCGAUGUUGGCGAUAUACGGUCAGCGUCUAAGCGAAAGCGUUAAGUAUUCCACCUGGGGAGUACGCCCGCAAGGGUGAAACUCAA
RNAcentral lists this ribosomal RNA (836 nucleotides) under uncultured bacterium. Its description in RNAcentral is "bacterial SSU rRNA". It matches the Rfam family "Bacterial small subunit ribosomal RNA", at positions 68 to 904 of the family's 1533-position model. The record is from RNAcentral.